UACGAAGGGGGCUAGCGUUGCUCGGAAUCACUGGGCGUAAAGCGCACGUAGGCGGUUUGUUAAGUCAGGGGUGAAAUCCUGGAGCUCAACUCCAGAACUGCCUUUGAUACUGGCGAUCUUGAGGCCGGGAGAGGGUAGCGGAAUUCCCAGUGUAGCGGUGAAAUGCGUAGAUACUGGGAGGAACACCGGUGGCGAAGGCGGCUACCUGGACCGGAACUGACGCUGAGGCGCGAAAGCGUGGGUAGCAAACAGG
RNAcentral lists this ribosomal RNA (253 nucleotides) under uncultured bacterium. Its description in RNAcentral is "partial 16S ribosomal RNA". It matches the Rfam family "Bacterial small subunit ribosomal RNA", at positions 524 to 776 of the family's 1533-position model. The record is from RNAcentral.